UCCGGUGGCGAUGCGCCUGGGGGUCACACCCGUUCCCAUCCCGAACACGAUGGUUAAGACCCAGGCGGCCGAUGGUACUUUGCUGGAGACGGCACGGGAGAGCAGGUGGCUGCCGGAA
RNAcentral lists this ribosomal RNA (118 nucleotides) under Lachnospiraceae bacterium. The record is from RNAcentral. RNAcentral also lists the same sequence under 1 other name. Lineage: Bacteria; Bacillati; Bacillota; Clostridia; Lachnospirales; Lachnospiraceae.